RNAcentral lists this ribosomal RNA (497 nucleotides) under uncultured Capnocytophaga sp. Its description in RNAcentral is "bacterial SSU rRNA". It matches the Rfam family "Bacterial small subunit ribosomal RNA", at positions 8 to 507 of the family's 1533-position model. Lineage: Bacteria; Pseudomonadati; Bacteroidota; Flavobacteriia; Flavobacteriales; Flavobacteriaceae. The record is from RNAcentral.
AGAGUUUGAUCCUGGCUCAGGAUGAACGCUAGCGGCAGGCCUAACACAUGCAAGUCGAGGGAGAAGCCCUUUCGGGGCAGAAACCGGCGCACGGGUGCGUAACGCGUAUGCAACCUACCUUUCACAGGGGGAUAGCCCGAAGAAAUUUGGAUUAAUACCCCAUAAUAUUGUUGGAUGGCAUCAUCUAGCAAUUAAAGCUACGACGGUGGAAGAUGGGCAUGCGUCCUAUUAGCUAGUUGGAGUGGUAACGGCACCCCAAGGCUACGAUAGGUAGGGGUCCUGAGAGGGAGAUCCCCCACACUGGUACUGAGACAGGGACCAGACUCCUACGGGAGGCAGCAGUGAGGAAUAUUGGUCAAUGGUCGGAAGACUGAACCAGCCAUGCCGCGUGCAGGAAGAAUGCCUUAUGGGUUGUAAACUGCUUUUAUAUGGGAAGAAUAAGGUGUACGUGUACAUUGAUGACGGUACCAUAUGAAUAAGCAUCGGCUAACUCCGUG